GACGUAGGUGGCGAGCGUUGUCCGGAAUGACUGGGCGUAAAGGGCGCGUAGGCGGCCGCUUAAGUCUGGGGUGAAAACCCGGGGCUCAACCUUGGGAGUGCCUUGGAUACUGGGCGGCUUGAGCGUCGGAGAGGCAAGGGGAAUUCCAUGUGUAGCGGUGAAAUGCGUAGAGAUAUGGAGGAACACCGGUGGCGAAGGCGCCUUGCUGGCCGAUAGCUGACGCUGAGGCGCGAAAGCGUGGGGAGCAAACAGG
RNAcentral lists this ribosomal RNA (253 nucleotides) under uncultured bacterium. RNAcentral describes it as "partial 16S ribosomal RNA". It matches the Rfam family "Bacterial small subunit ribosomal RNA", at positions 524 to 776 of the family's 1533-position model. The record is from RNAcentral.